UGCAAAUAGUGACCAAAAGAAACAUGAUGUUUCUUUAUAUGGUAAAUCAGCUAAAUGUCAAAAAUUUUUUACAAAUAUUUAAGGAUGUAUGUGUAUGUAUGUGUGUGUGUGUGUGUGUGUGUGUAUACAUGCCAACUCAUCUAUAAGAUGCAA
Molecule: small RNA, 153 nt
Filed under: Marmota monax (woodchuck)
Lineage: Eukaryota; Metazoa; Chordata; Mammalia; Rodentia; Sciuridae
Source: RNAcentral